Molecule: long non-coding RNA, 1182 nt
Filed under: Homo sapiens (human)
Lineage: Eukaryota; Metazoa; Chordata; Mammalia; Primates; Hominidae
Description: HSALNT0332226
Source: RNAcentral
UCAGUAGACAGCUUUGCAGGCUGUUCUUGUGUUUGCAGUCCCUGUGUAUAGCCUUCUCAAAAUACAAACGGCAUAUUUUGAGGCAUGGAAAGAAUUCUCCCUGAAGAUUUGUGCCACAAAUAGCCCCAGAAGCUGGCUGAUUUUGGAGUCAUUGCUGCACUGAACCCAGAGCUCGCCAUGGCAUCUUGUUUAAGAAAAUUAAGUUUUCCCAUUCUUCCUCUUUAAGCUGGUGACCCUGGGUGGCAUGGAACUCUUACAGGAAAAGCUUGGAACUCUUGAGCUCAAAUCCAGUGUGUUGACAAGGUCCCAGUGGGAACCCCAUUCAGGCUGAAUGAAUUGGCAGUCAUUUCCAGGCUUAUCAGAUCACAUUCUCCUUGUCUUACUUAAUUUUGUGAAUCAACCCCAACUCAGGAGACCAGAAUCACAACAAGAAUUUCAUUUUUGCCAGACAAAGGGCUCAGCCAUGCAUUCAGCCAUCAAGUUUUCCUUGUCCUUCCCUGGGUCUGGAGUGAUAUAGACUGAAACAGUGGAUCCGUGUCAGGUUUUACUCAUGGCUGGACUGCCUUGUCACGCUCCUUGGCACCGAAGGAGUGUGAUUGAAUGUGUGUAGCUGUCAGAGGCAGAGGGGAGUCAAUAAUACCUGAUAUUUGCCUUGAAUUCCUGUUUUACCUUCACACAAUUAAAUCUUGCCUUCACAUUAUUUCAUUUGCUUUACUUGGAAAGGAGCUCUAACCUUGAAAAGGAUUGAAGUUGUGGCUUUAUUAUCCUUGAGGACAAUUCUAUGUAAUGUGUGGAAGAAGAGAGGAUUCCAAAGAGAUUCCUCUCUUGUCUUUUCCGUAUCAACUGCUUUGAGUCCUUUGUUUUCUUUCCUGGGCUCUUGUGUGGGUGACACAUCUGUGUUUAUAUACAGCUAGGCCAUAUCUCUCUCCCAAAGAGGCAGAAGAGCCAAACUACAUGUCUUCAGGAGGGGGAAGCAAGUUUUUCUCAACCUUAGUGAAUGAUGUUUCUAGAACAGGGUGGAUCUCUAAGCCCUUAAGGAUGAUGCUGUCUGUUCCAGAGAAUUCUAUAUAAAGUGUAUGUGUGUGCACGCUUCUUUCAGUUUUCUUCUCUUAAGAAGACAAUUAGCAGCAGCAUUCAACAUAGAGUCCUCAAAGGAUGAAAUCCUCCCAACAUUUAACUUGG